GGCAGUGGUGCUGCUGCUGCUGCUGCUGCUGCUGCUGCUGACGCACUUGAUGCUGAUGCACCGUAGGCGUUGCAGCCACGCCCGUUGCAUAGAGGCUUGCCCCCACUCGGUGUGCAGCAGCAGCAGCAGCAGUAGCAGCACUCUC
Molecule: small RNA, 145 nt
Filed under: Drosophila guanche
Lineage: Eukaryota; Metazoa; Arthropoda; Insecta; Diptera; Drosophilidae
Source: RNAcentral